UAACAUGACAACACAUUUUUAUCGAGUUUUGUUGAGAUUUUCACAUUAUGAGAAGAGUAGUAUUAACUACAGUCCAG
Long non-coding RNA from Aricia agestis (brown argus), 77 nucleotides. RefSeq lists it as uncharacterized. The transcript is spliced from 3 exons. NCBI's taxonomy places the organism in Eukaryota, Metazoa, Arthropoda, Insecta, Lepidoptera, Lycaenidae. The record is from RefSeq and is a predicted model, not a curated record.